AUGUGGGUAUCUACCCUUUGGCCUGGAAUAACACGAGGAAACUUGUGCUAAUACCGGAUAAGUCUUUACGGAGAAAGCUUUAUGCACCAUUGGAUGAGCCCGCACUUGAUUAGUUUGUUGGUAGGGUAAUGGCCUACCAAGACUAUGAUCAAUAGCUGAUUUGAGAGGAUGAUCAGCCACAUUGGGACUGAGACACGGCCCAAACUCCUACGGGAGGCAGCAGUGGGGAAUCUUGCACAAUGGAGGAAACUCUGAUGCAGCGAUGCCGCGUGAGUGAAGAAGGCCUUUGGGUUGUAAAGCUCUUUCGUCGGGGAAGAAAAUGACUGUACCCGAAUAAGAAG
Molecule: ribosomal RNA, 341 nt
Filed under: uncultured bacterium
Lineage: Bacteria
Description: bacterial SSU rRNA
Rfam family: Bacterial small subunit ribosomal RNA
Source: RNAcentral